ACUGUGGGUUUGUCAUAUAUAGCCUUUGUUAUGUUGAGAAGUUUACGAAGACAAAAGAGGAAUGACGACUCAGCAUAUUGUAAUUAUCCAGUUGAUAUUUAUCUUGUUCCAGUCACCUUAAGAAAGCUGUUUGGCAAGGGCAGUGACUGGAAGCUGGGAGAGAGGGUCAACAGCUGAAUCU
This 181-nucleotide non-coding RNA is filed under the name Pan troglodytes (chimpanzee). Lineage: Eukaryota; Metazoa; Chordata; Mammalia; Primates; Hominidae. The record is from RNAcentral.